CACGUCCAGGUGUUUUGCCGUCUCAACCGCAUCAGGAAUCUUUCAGGUCCAUUAUAAUCUGGUCUUGAAACACUGUCAUCAUCCUCCUCAGAUUGCGAGUGCUCACAAAGGACUGUGAUGAUUGACAGCUGGCUGAACACGCUGGAAAGGAGAAGACAUAGAGGCGGUGAAAUUGUGUCCCUCUGGCUGCCAAGUGAAUGAGUCAGGGAGUGAAUGAGUUUCCUGUGUGCCCACUGUGUGCCAGGCGCUGAGGACGGCCCUGGAGAGAGAAAGUGUACAGGCCCUCAUGUGCCAAGGAGGUCUGUCUGGCCAACUCCCUUCCAUGGAUUUGCAGGCGCGGGAAGCAUGUGGAAGGCCGUGUUCGUGUUGCAGAGAAGGUUGGCUGCUGAGCCAGGGCGUGUCUGCAGGAGGCCUGCCAGGCUGCCCGGAUCCCCACCUCACCACCAUGGGCCACCCAGGCUGGUCAGUUCCAGUCCUUGAUUUCGCCACGGUUCCCUGCCCUUGGCACUGGGGGAAGGCCGGACCCAAUUGCUCAAGUCCCAGGUUUCUGGCAUCA
RNAcentral lists this long non-coding RNA (556 nucleotides) under Rhinolophus ferrumequinum (greater horseshoe bat). RNAcentral describes it as "lncRNA (ENSRFEG00010013897.1)". The record is from RNAcentral. Lineage: Eukaryota; Metazoa; Chordata; Mammalia; Chiroptera; Rhinolophidae.